RNAcentral lists this non-coding RNA (29 nucleotides) under Rattus norvegicus (Norway rat). Lineage: Eukaryota; Metazoa; Chordata; Mammalia; Rodentia; Muridae. The record is from RNAcentral.
UAAAUUUAGGUAGAAGUUACCUUAGCCUU